GUGGGGAAUAUUGCACAAUGGGCGCAAGCCUGAUGCAGCCAUGCCGCGUGUAUGAAGAAGGCCUUCGGGUUGUAAAGUACUUUCAGCGGGGAGGAAGGGAGUAAAGUUAAUACCUUUGCUCAUUGACGUUACCCGCAGAAGAAGCACCGGCUAACUCCGUGCCAGCAGCCGCGGUAAUACGGAGGGUGCAAGCGUUAAUCGGAAUUACUGGGCGUAAAGCGCACGCAGGCGGUUUGUUAAGUCAGAUGUGAAAUCCCCGGGCUCAACCUGGGAACUGCAUCUGAUACUGGCAAGCUUGAGUCUCGUAGAGGGGGGUAGAAUUCCAGGUGUAGCGGUGAAAUGCGUAGAGAUCUGGAGGAAUACCGGUGGCGAAGGCGGCCCCCUGGACGAAGACUGACGCUCAGGUGCGAAAGCGUGGGGAGCAAACAGGAUUAGAAACCCCAGUAGUCC
This 450-nucleotide ribosomal RNA is filed under the name uncultured bacterium. Its description in RNAcentral is "bacterial SSU rRNA". It matches the Rfam family "Bacterial small subunit ribosomal RNA", at positions 354 to 796 of the family's 1533-position model. The record is from RNAcentral. RNAcentral also lists the same sequence under 1 other name.